CUAUGUGUUUCCUCAAAUAACACCAACUUCCUUCCUUUAAAAGACAAAAAAAACCUCAAUGCUGCAAAUAUAUGAGAUAGUGUAAAGACUGCUAGCGUUACAUGAGUAACAGUGAAUUUGCACCCAAACCAAAAGUAGAUGAACAUGGCACAAGAUAUUGAGCUUUCUGACUAUGCCACUAUACAUGAGACUAGGAGAACUGCAACAAACAGCGGGGACACUGAACAGUCAGAGAGAAGACUUUUCAGAAUCGGGAUUUUAACUUUAGGAGUCUUGUGUAUCAUACAAGCCACUCUCAAUAUUUCCCUGCACCUUGCCUUUUAUUCAAAAGAAGAUACAGAUCAGUUUCUUCUCAGUUCCGUGAUAGCCGAAGCGUGCCAGGCUGACCAGUGUCAACAGAAUUCAGCCCAGUUAUGUCCCUGCUUCAAUGACCUGCUGAGAAGACUACUGAGAGACAAAAAGGCCUUGGAAACAGAGAGAGACCUGUUACUCAAAAAAAUCUCUCAAAUGACUGGGAAUUGUGACUAUUUCCAGGAGUCUGGGGAUGGUGCCCUGGACGAUUCCUUUUCAGAGAGUAGCGGGUACAGCUGAAAUUCAGUGACCACUCAAUGCAUUGGGAACAAGAGCGUAGGGCUUCAAGCGUGUAACAGCAGUUUGUCCUCUGUUGGGUUAGUCUGUUUAACAUUUGAUCAGCUAAAAAGACUCUAAGGCCAAUACCUACCAUAUUUUGAUGUGAUGACACAUUUUUGGGUUGUAGCGGUAAAUAACUGCAAUCAGUUACUGUAUCGCUGAAAAUAUUUUACUUUUACAGUGACCAAUCUGUAUAUGUAAGUCAAAAGUAAUUACACAAUUGUAUAUUCAAACAUUAUUUAGUGACAUGCCACCACAUUACCCUGCCAUCUCACACACUCUGGAUUGAGGACCCUGGUUUUAAAGGUGCUAAAGUCAAUAUUUUUAUAUUAACAAUGGAUCAAAUGAUUAUGUGUAUGUGAAUGAGGUCACUUUAACCCACAAACAAUUAACACCCAACUAUGUAGUUUCCAUCGACUCUAUGCAGCUCUGUAGCAUCUUUCAGUUCAUUAUUUUGGUUUUACUGGCCACAACUUACUGUUUUGGUUCACACGAGUUUUCAGCCGCAGCAGGCAGCUGUUUUCAGUUGAACAGCUUUGACAAACAUGCACAGUAUGUUAUCUGCCCACCACCAAACAGCGGAUAAAGUUAGACGAGCUAGAAAAGCUGGAUAUUUCCCUGAAGCCCUUUGUGGAGACCAAACCAGAGGGAUAGUGAAUGUUAGACUAAGGUGGACCCAAACUCCAAAUAAAUACUGAUUUGAUAAUAUUUACAUUUUCUGGGCCAAAAAUCAAUAAAUGCAGAUUUAAAUUGAAUUUUGUGCAAGACUGUAAUAUUGUUGUGAAAUGCAUUUAUUUUUUUUAACCACAUCAGCUAUUUGGAUUUUCUUACUUUCAAAUGAUUCCCUGGUUAUAUCUAUCUAAUAAAGACUUUAGAGCCCAGAGGGGAAAUGUUUUGAA
Molecule: long non-coding RNA, 1529 nt
Organism: Dicentrarchus labrax (European seabass)
Lineage: Eukaryota; Metazoa; Chordata; Actinopteri; Moronidae
Exons: 3
Source: RefSeq, a predicted model, not a curated record